AUUGAACGCUGGCGGCAUGCCUUACACAUGCAAGUCGAACGGCAGCGCGGGGCAACCUGGCGGCGAGUGGCGAACGGGUGAGUAACAUAUCGGAACAUACCCUAGAGUGGGGGAUAACGUAGCGAAAGUUACGCUAAUACCGCAUACGCACUAAGGUGGAAAGUGGGGGAUCUUCGGACCUCAUGCUCAUGGAGUGGCCGAUAUCUGAUUAGCUAGUUGGUGAGGUAAAGGCUCACCAAGGCGACGAUCAGUAGCUGGUUUGAGAGAACGACCAGCCACACUGGAACUGAGACACGGUCCAGACUCCUACGGGAGGCAGCAGUGGGGGAAUUUUGGGACAAUGGGCGGCAAGCCUGAUCCAGCAAUGCCGCGUGCAGGAUGAAGGCCU
Molecule: ribosomal RNA, 388 nt
Filed under: uncultured bacterium
Lineage: Bacteria
Description: bacterial SSU rRNA
Rfam family: Bacterial small subunit ribosomal RNA
Source: RNAcentral